CUUGAUGGUGGCUGUGCGCAUGGUGCCCUCGGGCGCGCCGGUUUUGACUGGAGGCCGGUCUACUAACUUGCGCACAGCUGCCUCCCCA
This 88-nucleotide non-coding RNA is filed under the name Pseudomonas lini. Lineage: Bacteria; Pseudomonadati; Pseudomonadota; Gammaproteobacteria; Pseudomonadales; Pseudomonadaceae. The record is from RNAcentral.